This 613-nucleotide ribosomal RNA is filed under the name uncultured Vibrio sp. Its description in RNAcentral is "bacterial SSU rRNA". It matches the Rfam family "Bacterial small subunit ribosomal RNA", at positions 64 to 670 of the family's 1533-position model. Lineage: Bacteria; Pseudomonadati; Pseudomonadota; Gammaproteobacteria; Vibrionales; Vibrionaceae. The record is from RNAcentral.
UAACUGAACCUUCGGGGAACGUUAAGGGCGGCGAGCGGCGGACGGGUGAGUAAUGCCUGGGAAAUUGCCCUGAUGUGGGGGAUAACCAUUGGAAACGAUGGCUAAUACCGCAUGAUAGCUUCGGCUCAAAGAGGGGGACCUUCGGGCCUCUCGCGUCAGGAUAUGCCCAGGUGGGAUUAGCUAGUUGGUGAGGUAAGGGCUCACCAAGGCGACGAUCCCUAGCUGGUCUGAGAGGAUGAUCAGCCACACUGGAACUGAGACACGGUCCAGACUCCUACGGGAGGCAGCAGUGGGGAAUAUUGCACAAUGGGCGCAAGCCUGAUGCAGCCAUGCCGCGUGUAUGAAGAAGGCCUUCGGGUUGUAAAGUACUUUCAGCAGUGAGGAAGGCGGAUGUGUUAAUAGCACAUUCGUUUGACGUUAGCUGCAGAAGAAGCACCGGCUAACUCCGUGCCAGCAGCCGCGGUAAUACGGAGGGUGCGAGCGUUAAUCGGAAUUACUGGGCGUAAAGCGCAUGCAGGUGGUUUGUUAAGUCAGAUGUGAAAGCCCGGGGCUCAACCUCGGAAUUGCAUUUGAAACUGGCAGGCUAGAGUACUGUAGAGGGGGGUAGAAUUUC